RNAcentral lists this transfer RNA (76 nucleotides) under Erwinia phage Loshitsa2. RNAcentral's name for it is "tRNA-Asn". It matches the Rfam family "tRNA". Rfam says of the family: Transfer RNA (tRNA) molecules are approximately 80 nucleotides in length. Their secondary structure includes four short double-helical elements and three loops (D, anti-codon, and T loops). The record is from RNAcentral. Lineage: Duplodnaviria; Heunggongvirae; Uroviricota; Caudoviricetes; Autographivirales; Autoscriptoviridae. RNAcentral also lists the same sequence under 1 other name.
GGGGAAUGAGCAAGUUGGCACACGCGGUCGGCUGUUAACCGAUGAAUACCGGGUUCGACUCCCGGAUUCCCCGCCA